GAUGAACGCUGACAGAAUGCUUAACACAUGCAAGUCUUUGGCGAAGCUGUGCUUGCACAGCCUAGCCAAGGCGGACGGGUGAGUAACGCGUAAGGAACUUGCCCUGCAGUCAGGGAUAACAGACGGAAACGACUGAUAAGACCCGGUAAAGUCAGGCGGACUCAUGUCCAGCCUGAUGAAAAGAGAUGCUGCAGGAGAGCCUUGCGUCCUAUUAGCUUGUUGGUGGGGUAACGGCCCACCAAGGCGAUGAUAGGUAGCCGGCCUGAGAGGGUGGACGGCCACAAGGGGACUGAGAUACGGCCCUUACUCCUACGGGAGGCAGCAGUGGGGAAUAUUGGACAAUGGGGGCAACCCUGAUCCAGCAAUUCUGUGUGCACGAUGAAGGUUUUCGGAUUGUAAAGUGCUUUCAGCAGGGAAGAAAAAAUGACGGUACCUGCAGAAGAAGCGACGGCUAAAUACGUG
RNAcentral lists this ribosomal RNA (462 nucleotides) under uncultured bacterium. RNAcentral describes it as "partial 16S ribosomal RNA". It matches the Rfam family "Bacterial small subunit ribosomal RNA", at positions 28 to 507 of the family's 1533-position model. The record is from RNAcentral.